RNAcentral lists this ribosomal RNA (512 nucleotides) under Oenococcus oeni. Its description in RNAcentral is "bacterial SSU rRNA". It matches the Rfam family "Bacterial small subunit ribosomal RNA", at positions 1026 to 1533 of the family's 1533-position model. The record is from RNAcentral. Lineage: Bacteria; Bacillati; Bacillota; Bacilli; Lactobacillales; Lactobacillaceae.
CAUUGGAUACAGGUGGUGCAUGGUCGUCGUCAGCUCGUGUCGUGAGAUGUUGGGUUAAGUCCCGCAACGAGCGCAACCCUUGUUAUUAGUUGCCAGCAUUUAGUUGGGCACUCUAAUGAGACUGCCGGUGAUAAACCGGAGGAAGGUGGGGACGACGUCAGAUCAUCAUGCCCCUUAUGACCUGGGCAACACACGUGCUACAAUGGGAAGUACAACGAGUCGCAAACCGGCGACGGUAAGCUAAUCUCUUAAAACUUCUCUCAGUUCGGACUGGAGUCUGCAACUCGACUCCACGAAGGCGGAAUCGCUAGUAAUCGCGAAUCAGCAUGUCGCGGUGAAUACGUUCCCGGGUCUUGUACACACCGCCCGUCAAAUCAUGGGAGUCGGAAGUACCCAAAGUCGCUUGGCUAACUUUUAGAGGCCGGUGCCUAAGGUAAAAUCGAUGACUGGGAUUAAGUCGUAACAAGGUAGCCGUAGGAGAACCUGCGGCUGGAUCACCUCCUUUCUAAGGA